AUCCAUCUGACAAGUCCUAAAUAGGACGAAGUGACGCUCAUCCUGGAU
Molecule: non-coding RNA, 48 nt
Organism: Schistosoma mattheei
Lineage: Eukaryota; Metazoa; Platyhelminthes; Trematoda; Strigeidida; Schistosomatidae
Source: Rfam